GACGAACGCUGGCGGCGUGCCUAAUACAUGCAAGUAGAACGCUGAAGGAGGAGCUUGCUUCUCUGGAUGAGUUGCGAACGGGUGAGUAACGCGUAGGUAACCUGCCUGGUAGCGGGGGAUAACUAUUGGAAACGAUAGCUAAUACCGCAUAAUAGCAGUUAUUGCAUGAUAACUGUUUGAAAGGUGCAAUUGCACCACUACCAGAUGGACCUGCGUUGUAUUAGCUAGUUGGUGGGGUAACGGCUCACCAAGGCGACGAUACAUAGCCGACCUGAGAGGGGGAUCGGCCACACUGGGACUGAGACACGGCCCAGACUCCUACGGGAGGCAGCAGUAGGGAAUCUUCGGCAAUGGACGGAAGUCUGACCGAGCAACGCCGCGUGAGUGAAGAAGGUUUUCGGAUCGUAAAGCUCUGUUGUAAGAGAAGAACGAGUGUGAGAGUGGAAAGUUCACACUGUGACGGUAUCUUAACAGAAAGGGACGGCUAACUACGUG
This 495-nucleotide ribosomal RNA is filed under the name uncultured bacterium. RNAcentral describes it as "partial 16S ribosomal RNA". It matches the Rfam family "Bacterial small subunit ribosomal RNA", at positions 28 to 507 of the family's 1533-position model. The record is from RNAcentral.